This 83-nucleotide transfer RNA is filed under the name Gardnerella vaginalis. Its description in RNAcentral is "tRNA-Leu". It matches the Rfam family "tRNA". From Rfam's summary of the family: Transfer RNA (tRNA) molecules are approximately 80 nucleotides in length. Their secondary structure includes four short double-helical elements and three loops (D, anti-codon, and T loops). Further hydrogen bonds mediate the characteristic L-shaped molecular structure. tRNAs have two regions of fundamental functional importance: the anti-codon, which is responsible for specific mRNA codon recognition, and the 3' end, to which the tRNAs corresponding amino acid is attached (by aminoacyl-tRNA synthetases). tRNAs cope with the degeneracy of the genetic code in two manners: having more than one tRNA (with a specific anti-codon) for a particular amino acid; and 'wobble' base-pairing, i.e. permitting non-standard base-pairing at the 3rd anti-codon position. The record is from RNAcentral. Lineage: Bacteria; Bacillati; Actinomycetota; Actinomycetes; Bifidobacteriales; Bifidobacteriaceae. RNAcentral also lists the same sequence under 3 other names.
GCGAACGUGGCGGAAUGGUAGACGCGCUGUCUUCAGGUGGCAGUGAGCGUAUGCUCAUGCGGGUUCAAGUCCCGCCGUUCGCA